UAGGCUAAGAGUUAGGAAUGAAACCUGUCAAGAGUGCUGCCCCACAUCCACCUAGCAGGAAACAGUUAAGAUGGAAAAACAUUGAGAAAUUAUGCAUCUAAUUUGUUUGCUUCCAAAAUUUUCUUGUAAAGAAAUUUUCCAAGGAAGGCAUAGUUACACAUGGAACAAUAACGACACUGCACACGAGCUCCUGAAAGAGAUGGCAGUCUCCAGGAUUCGAGUGUAUGGUGCUGUUCUGCCUCCUAUCACAGGAGUCACUGCAUUUCUAAAAUCCUUUACCUGCUACAGAAAUUAAAUCACAUUUGGGAACAGCCCUUUAUGAUAAGAAAAUCUCCAUCAUAAUAUCGCAAAGGUUCCAUCUGAGCAAGUCCCCCUGCUUGGGCCCAGCUUGCUGAUUUGAUCCUGCCAAUCCAGAGAGACAGUUCAGCAAGGCCCUGCUGAAAUUAACCAACCUAAAAGGCCCUCUUUGUCACCCCAGUGAAGUAGAACGAGUCAAUUCUAUACCAAGUGCUUUGGUCAGGCAAUAAUGGACUUUUCUUUCCUGCAGUAGAUCAGCUGACGUCAGUAGGUGGGAGGUCUGCCAAGCCACAACAGGCUGUCUCUGGGGAGCUGGGUAUCUGAAAGUCACCAAUGUGCUCCCACUGCAGUCAGCAUUCAGAAUUUUCAUUUGUGCAAUUACAGGAGACACCAAAAAACAUUAUGGGUUAGUGAGAGUUUCCCCCCUCUUAACCUGACAGGGAGCUGUCUCUUGUUUAUCUACACGAGUUCCAGUUUCUUUUUGCUCCUAAAAGGGUCAUUUCUGCAGACUACAUUAAACACAGGAAAAUUCUCAUAAAUAUCAUUAAGAAUUCCUGCCAUCCAAAGGUGCUACAGCCUCUCACCCGAAACUGUCAGUUACUGAAAUGUCAGCUCAGCUCGGCCUGGGCGUGCCACAUUCCUUCCACAACCGAGGCUGCAUGCUGCAAGCACCCCACCCCUUCCCUGGCAUAUGCAGCAGACUGAUAAGGCCGACUUCACAGAGAACGUUCCAGGCUGUUCCCAGCCAUAUGGGAUUAACGCCUUUUGAGAGCACCAGAAAGGAAAAAUCUGGGAAACGUGCCAUUAAAAAACAAACUCCAAUCUUACCAGCCUAUCUAUCAGUUCCACUAACUGCCUAAAAACCACAACAGAGACGACUUCCUAGGAAUGCAAUCAACUGACUGCUUAUCUCAAAGGAGCCAACUGUCUCUGAUUUUGCCAAUCAAGUCUGUUCACAUAGAGACUGAAGGAGGGGAAAUGAAGUGCUAAGUAUAUUCUCUAUAUGUUUAAGGACAACUUCCCAUUUAAGGUAACUUAAAAAAAAAGGUAUAUAUUUGCAAAAUAUUAUUAGAGGAGACUGAAGACGUAGGCUAUUUAUAAAUGCUGCAACGCAGCAGUCAAACGUUAGCUGCAUCAUUCAGCAAGUAAUGCGAAUCUCAGGGGGAUAAAGCAGGAAUUACAACUAUGUCCUCUAUUGUAAUAAAUAAAAUGAAUAAAAUGAACUUGUCAGCAUUCUUACAAUACUACCAGAUCUCGGAAGAAGAGUGGGGUCUGAAUAUAUGAAUCUUGGCUAGAAAUUUCUAAUAUACAGCUGGGCGCGGUGGCUCACGCCUGUAAUCCCAGCACUUUGGGAGGCUGAGGCAGAUGGAUCACGAGGUCAGGAGAUUGAGACCAUCCUGGCUAACACGGUGAAACCCCGUCUCUACUAAAAAUACAAAAAAUUAGCCGGGCGUGGUGGCGGGCACCUGUAGUCCCAGCUAUUCGGGAGGCUGAGGCAGGAGAAUGGCGUGAACCUGGGAGGCGGAGCUUGCAGUGAGCCGAGAUCGCGCCACUGCACUCCAGCCUGGGCGACAGAGCGAGACUCCGUCUCAAAAAAAAAAAAAAAAAAAAAAGAAAUUUCUAAUUUAAUCCAAAGAUACAGCAUGCUUCAGAAUGAUCCAGGAUAUCAAACACAAACUUAUACACAGUAUCAACUGAAAAUGGAUUCCUACAAAAUAGAUUAGACAUGAAUAUCUUUGUCUUAUUGAUGAACGCCAAGAGACAGCUGUUUGAGGCAGUUCUUGGUAUUUGGGGAAUUUUCAUUCCCCAAAUAAAAAUUUGGGGGUAUUUG
Molecule: long non-coding RNA, 2128 nt
Filed under: Homo sapiens (human)
Lineage: Eukaryota; Metazoa; Chordata; Mammalia; Primates; Hominidae
Description: HSALNT0354998
Source: RNAcentral